GUCAGGAAUAUUGCGCAAUGGAGGAAACUCUGACGCAGCGACGCCGCGUGGGUGAUGAAGGCCUUCGGGUCGUAAAGCCCUGUCGGAGGGGAAGAAAAGCUCGCUGGCUAAUAUCCAGCGGGCCUUUGACGGUACCCUCAAAGGAAGCACCGGCUAACUCCGUGCCAGCAGCCGCGGUAAGACGGAGGGUGCAAGCGUUGUUCGGAUUGACUGGGCGUAAAGGGCGUGUAGGCGGUCGGUCCAGUCCGGUGUGAAAGCCCGGGGCUCAGCCCCGGAAGUGCAUCGGAAACUAGCCGACUUGAGCGCGAUAGAGGAGGGUGGAAUUCCUGGUGUAGCGGUGAAAUGCGUAGAUAUCAGGAGGAACACCGGCGGCGAAGGCGGCCCUCUGGAUCGUUGCUGACGCUGAGACGCGAAAGCGUGGGGAGCAAACAGGAUUAGAAACCCCAGUAGUCC
RNAcentral lists this ribosomal RNA (453 nucleotides) under uncultured bacterium. RNAcentral describes it as "bacterial SSU rRNA". It matches the Rfam family "Bacterial small subunit ribosomal RNA", at positions 354 to 796 of the family's 1533-position model. The record is from RNAcentral.